CAAUAGCGUAUAUUAAAGUUGUUGUGGUUAAAAAGCUCGUAGUUGAACCUUGGGCCUGGCCGUCCGGUCCGCCUCACCGCGUGUACUGGCUCGGCCGGGCCUUUCCCUCUGUGGAACCCCAGGCCCUUCACUGGGCGUGGCGGGGAAACAGGACUUUUACUGUGAAAAAAUUAGAGUGCUCCAGGCAGGCCUAUGCUCGAAUACAUUAGCAUGGAAUAAUAGAAUAGGACGUGUGGUUCUAUUUUGUUGGUUUCUAGGACCGCCGUAAUGAUUAAUAGGGACAGUCGGGGGCAUCAGUAUUCAAUUGUCAGAGGUGAAAUUCUUGGAUUUAUUGAAGACUAACUACUGCGAAAGCAUUUGCCAAGGAUGUUUUCAUUAA
This 379-nucleotide ribosomal RNA is filed under the name uncultured eukaryote. Its description in RNAcentral is "partial 18S ribosomal RNA". It matches the Rfam family "Eukaryotic small subunit ribosomal RNA", at positions 592 to 976 of the family's 1831-position model. The record is from RNAcentral.